GCUCACUGAGGAAUUGCUUUGGAAACUGGGGACUUUGAUGCAGUAAAGGAGAGUGGAAUUCCAUGUGUAGCGGUGAAAUGCGUGGAGAAUGGAGGAACACCAGUGGCGAAGGCGGCUUUCUGGACUGUAACUGACGUUGAGGCUCGAAAGCGUGGGGAGCAAACAGAAUUAGAUACCCUGGUAGUCCACGCCGUAAACGAUGAGUGCUUGGUGUUUGAGGGUUCCAUGCCUUAAGUGCCGAAGCUAACGCAUUAAGCACUCCGCCUGGGGAGUACGACCGCAAGGUUGAAACUCAAAGGAAUUGACGGGGACCCGCACAAGCGGUGGAGCGUGUGGUUUAAUUCGAAGCAACGCGAAGAACCUUACCAGGUCUUGACAUCCCUUGACCACUCCAGAGAUGGAGCUUCCCCUUCGGGGACAAAGUGACAGGUGGUGCAUGGUUGUCGUCAGCUCGUGUCGUGAGAUGUUGGGUUAAGUCCCGCAACGAGCGCAACCCUUGUUACUAGUUGCCAGCAUUCAGUUGGGCACUCUAAUGAGACUGCCGGUGACAAACCGGAGGAAGGUGGGGAUGACGUCAAAUCAUCAUGCCCCUUAUGACCUGGGCUACACACGUGCUACAAUGGAUGGUACAACG
Molecule: ribosomal RNA, 634 nt
Filed under: uncultured bacterium
Lineage: Bacteria
Description: bacterial SSU rRNA
Rfam family: Bacterial small subunit ribosomal RNA
Source: RNAcentral